Molecule: ribosomal RNA, 325 nt
Filed under: uncultured Acidobacteriota bacterium
Lineage: Bacteria; Pseudomonadati; Acidobacteriota
Description: bacterial SSU rRNA
Rfam family: Bacterial small subunit ribosomal RNA
Source: RNAcentral
GAUCCUGGCUCAGAAUCAACGCUGGCGGCGUGCCUAACACAUGCAAGUCGAACGAGAAAGUGGAGCAAUCCAUGAGUAAAGUGGCGACCGGGUGAGUAACACGUGACUAACCUACCUUCGAGUGGGGGAUAACCUCGGGAAACCGAGGCUAAUACCGCAUAACAUCGCAAGAUCAAAGCAGCAAUGCGCUGGAAGAGGGGGUCGCGGCUGAUUAGCUAGUUGGCGGGGUAACGGCCCACCAAGGCGAAGAUCGGUAGCCGGCCUGAGAGGGCGCACGGCCACACUGGAACUGAAACACGGUCCAKACUCCUACGGGAGGCAGCAG